Molecule: ribosomal RNA, 497 nt
Filed under: uncultured bacterium
Lineage: Bacteria
Description: partial 16S ribosomal RNA
Rfam family: Bacterial small subunit ribosomal RNA
Source: RNAcentral
GAUGAACGCUGGCGGCGUGCCUAAUACAUGCAAGUCGAGCGAACAGACGAGGAGCUUGCUCCUCCGACGUUAGCGGCGGACGGGUGAGUAACACGUGGAUAACCUACCUAUAAGACUGGGAUAACUUCGGGAAACCGGAGCUAAUACCGGACAAUCUAUUGAACCGCAUGGUUCAAUAGUGAAAGACGGUUUUGCUGUCACUGAUAGAUGGAUCCGCGCCGCAUUAGCUAGUUGGUAAGGUAACGGCUUACCAAGGCAACGAUGCGAAGCCGACCUGAGAGGGAGGUCCGCCACACUGGAACUGAGCCAGGGUCCCAACGCCUACGGGAGGCAGCAGUAGGCAAUCAUGCGCAAUGGGCUAAGGCCUGACGUAGCAACGCCGCGUAAGUGCUGAAGGUCUUCGGAGCGUAAAGCUCUGUUAUUAGGGAAGAACAAAUGGGUAAGUAACUAUGCACGUCUUGACGGUACCUCAUCAGAAAGCCACGGCUAACUACGUG